CAUGCCUAAUACAUGCAAGUCGAACGAGAGUAGCAAUACUCUAGUGGCGAACGGGUGAGUAACACGUAGGAAACCUACCUCAAAGACGAGGAUAACUACUGGAAACGGUAGCUAAAACUGGAUAGGAUAUACAAAGGCAUCUUAGUAUAUUUAAAAGUCCUUCUGGGAAUGCUAUGAGAUGGUCCUGCGGCGCAUUAGCUAGUUGGUGAGGUAAAGGCCCACCAAGGCGACGAUGCGUAGCUGUGCUGAGAGGCAAAACAGCCACACUGGGACUGAGACACGGCCCAGACUCCUACGGGAGGCAGCAGUAGGGAAUUUUCGGCAAUGGGCGAAAGCCUGACCGAGCAAUGCCGCGUGAAUGAAGAAAUUCUUCGGAAUGUAAAAUUCUGUGGUGAGGGAAGAAAGGUAUUAGAAGGAAAUGGCUAAUAUUUGACGGUACCUUACUAGAAAGCCCCGGCUAACUAUGUGCCAGCAGCCGCGGUAAUACAUAGGGGGCAAGCGUUAUCCGGAAUUAUUGGGCGUAAAGCGUGCGUAGGCGGCCACUUAAGUCUGUCGUGAAAGCCCACAGCUUAACUGUGGAGGGUCGAUGGAAACUGAGAGGCUUGAAUCUAGGAGAGGUAAGUGGAAUUCCAUGUGUAGCGGUAAAAUGCUUAGAUAUAUGGAGGAACACCAGUGGCGAAGGCGGCUUACUGGUCUAGAAUUGACGCUGAUGCACGAAAGCGUGGGUAGCAAACAGGAUUAGAUACCCUGGUAGUCCACGCCGUAAACGAUGAGCACUAAGUGUCGGACGUAAGUUCGGUGCUGAAGUUAACGCAUUAAGUGCUCCGCCUGGGGAGUACGGUCGCAAGACUGAAACUCAAAGGAAUUGACGGGGACUCGCACAAGCGGUGGAGCAUGUGGUUUAAUUCGACGCAACGCGAAAAACCUUACCAGGCCUUGACAUACCGAUGACGUCUUUAGAGAUAGAGAGUUACCUUCGGGUACAUCGG
This 989-nucleotide ribosomal RNA is filed under the name human gut metagenome. RNAcentral's name for it is "bacterial SSU rRNA". It matches the Rfam family "Bacterial small subunit ribosomal RNA", at positions 43 to 1032 of the family's 1533-position model. The record is from RNAcentral.